Non-coding RNA from Callithrix jacchus (white-tufted-ear marmoset), 691 nucleotides. The record is from RefSeq and is a predicted model, not a curated record. NCBI's taxonomy places the organism in Eukaryota, Metazoa, Chordata, Mammalia, Primates, Cebidae.
CCCGGAUAAUCCUUGGGGGUUCAACAUGGCGGCAGCAGUAACGGAGGUGGCGGCCGCGCAAGAGAGCUGAACGAGGUGCGAGGGCGCGGAGUUCCAGGCCGAGCAUCUAGGCCAUGAGCGACUGCGGCGCCGAGCCGGCCUGGUUGGUUUACACAACGUUGGACAGACCUGCUGCCUUAACUCUUUAAUUCAGGUUUGUAAUGAACGUGGACUUCACCAGGAUAUUGAAGAGGACCAUGGUUCCCAAGGGAGCUGACAAGCAGAGGAGAAGUGUCCCUUUCCAGCUGCUUCUUCUGCAGGUGAAGAUGGAGGACCACUGGCAGAAUGCAGUGCAGCCCCUGGAGCUGGCCUACUUCCUGCAGAAGUACAGCAUGCUGAUAAUAAGCGGUCAGAGAUUUCCUUAAAUGCCUGAAUCGGUGAGUCUUCCAAUAUUUGUGAAGGGGCUCUGUGUGUUUGUUAGGGCACAAUUUCAAAGUGCACACAGUUUAUAAUUCUGUGUUCACUGUCAUUGCUUUCUUGUACAUGGCCUUGUGAUCAGCCAGAGGGGAAGAAUUCAGCCCUCUUAGAUCUUGGGCAUGUGCGUGGCCUUCUAGAUCCUCAGGAAUACAUCAGUGCUGUUCAAAGUCCCCUGUGAACAUCUCAUUCCCCAGGCCGAGUGCAGUGGUGUAAGCACAGCUCACUGUAGCCUCAA